Molecule: ribosomal RNA, 100 nt
Filed under: Texcoconibacillus texcoconensis
Lineage: Bacteria; Bacillati; Bacillota; Bacilli; Caryophanales; Bacillaceae
Description: Bacterial small subunit ribosomal RNA
Rfam family: Bacterial small subunit ribosomal RNA
Source: Rfam by way of RNAcentral
UUAAUGGAGAGUUUGAUCCUGGCUCAGGACGAACGCUGGCGGCGUGCCUAAUACAUGCAAGUCGAGCGCGGGAAAUUAAUAGAUCUCUUCGGAGUGACAU